RNAcentral lists this ribosomal RNA (417 nucleotides) under uncultured bacterium. RNAcentral's name for it is "partial 16S ribosomal RNA". It matches the Rfam family "Bacterial small subunit ribosomal RNA", at positions 360 to 774 of the family's 1533-position model. The record is from RNAcentral.
AAUAUUCGUCAAUGGAGGCAACUCCGAACCUGCCAAGUCGCGUGAAGGAUGACGGCCCUAAGGGUUGUAAACUUCUGUUUUAUGGGAAUAAAGUGAGCCACGUGUGGCUUCUUGUAUGUAGCUUACGAAUAACGUUCGGCCAACUCCGUGUCAGUAUCAACGGUAACACGGAGGAUCCGAGCGUUAUCCGGAUUUAUUGGGUUUAAAGGGUGCGCAGGCGGAAUAUUAAAUCGGCGGUGAAAGUUUGCAGCUUAACUGUAAGAUUGACGUUGAUACUGGUAUUCUUGAGUGUAUAUGAAGUAGGCGGAAUUUGUAGUGUAGCGGUGAAAGGCAUAGAUAAUACAAGGAACCCCGGUUGCGAAGGCAACUUACUAAAUUACAACUGACGCUUAGGCACGAAGGCGUGGGUAUCAAACA